Molecule: ribosomal RNA, 253 nt
Filed under: uncultured bacterium
Lineage: Bacteria
Description: partial 16S ribosomal RNA
Rfam family: Bacterial small subunit ribosomal RNA
Source: RNAcentral
UACGUAGGCAGCGAGCGUUGUUCGGAAUUAUUGGGCGUAAAGGGCGCGUAGGCGGUGCGGUAAGUCACCUGUGAAAUCUCCUGGCUCAACUGGGAGCUUGCAGGCGAAACUGCCGUGCUGGAGUGUGGGAGAGGUGCGUGGAAUUCCUGGUGUAGCGGUGAAAUGCGUAGAUAUCAGGAGGAACACCGGUGGCGAAGGCGGGUCUCUGGGCCGAUAUUGACGCUGAGGAGCGAAAGCGUGGGGAGCAAACAGG